UGGGGAAUAUUGCACAAUGGAGGGAACUCUGAUGCAGCGACGCCGCGUGAACGAAGAAGGCUUUCGAGUCGUAAAGUUCUUUUAUAUGGGAAGAUAAUGACGGUACCAUAAGAAAAAGCCCCGGCUAAAUACGUGCCAGCAGCCGCGGUAAUACGUAUGGGGCAAGCGUUAUCCGGAUUUACUGGGUGUAAAGGGAGCGUAGGCGGCAGUACAAGUCGGGAGUGAAAACUCGGGGCUCAACCCCGAGACUGCUCUCGAAACUGUACAGCUAGAGUGCAGGAAGGGCAGGCGGAAUUCCUGGUGUAGCGAUGAAAUGCGUAGAUAUCAGGAGGAACACCGGUGGCGAAGGCGGCCUGCUGGACUGUAACUGACGCUGAGGCUCGAAAGCGUGGGGAGCGAACAGG
This 404-nucleotide ribosomal RNA is filed under the name Verrucomicrobiota bacterium. RNAcentral describes it as "Verrucomicrobia bacterium partial 16S ribosomal RNA". It matches the Rfam family "Bacterial small subunit ribosomal RNA", at positions 355 to 776 of the family's 1533-position model. Lineage: Bacteria; Pseudomonadati; Verrucomicrobiota. The record is from RNAcentral.